UACGGAGGGUGCGAGCGUUAAUCGGAAUUACUGGGCGUAAAGGGUGCGUAGGUGGUUGAUUAAGUUAUCUGUGAAAUUCCUGGGCUUAACCUGGGACGGUCAGAUAAUACUGGUUGACUCGAGUAUGGGAGAGGGUAGUGGAAGUUCCGGUGUAUCGGUGAAAUGCGUAGAGAUCGGAAGGAACACCAGUGGCGAAGGCGGCUACCUGGUCUAAUACUGACACUGAGGCACGAAAGCGUGGGGAGCAAACAGG
This 253-nucleotide ribosomal RNA is filed under the name uncultured bacterium. RNAcentral's name for it is "partial 16S ribosomal RNA". It matches the Rfam family "Bacterial small subunit ribosomal RNA", at positions 524 to 776 of the family's 1533-position model. The record is from RNAcentral.